AAACCAGCCAGACAAACUGUUAGAGCAGGUGUUUUUUCUUUAAAGACUGGAAAGCCUUCAAGCAGAUGAGCGCUUCUCAAACUUAUGCGGUCCAAAACAAAUAGAGGUUGUGAUCUUCAACAUUGAGCUGAGCUGAACAGAGACUGGACAGGGUGACCAGGAUGCCUCAAGCUUUGUCUUUUAGCGGAGCUUGAUCUACCGGGAGGGAGCAGGAGAACGUUGAGGUUGAUUGUGGAAUUCCGAAUUCCACACUGACCUGUGAGUGUGUGGACAAGGCCGACAGACAGCUUCAGUUUCGGGGAUGCUUUGCAGAAAGGUAAAGAUUGGAGGAGAAAUGACUCGAGGGGACCACAGAAUAGGCUGGUUCACCAAGGCGUUGAAUGACAGAUGCCUGAUGGGAGGAGAGAUGACAAUCUGGGAAACGACCACCACCAGGGAAAUGCAUGCUUGGAACCAGAAUGUGAACACGUGAGAGUAACGUCCAGCCCCCCCAGGGCCGACACGGCGGCCCCACGGCGGUUCCUGAUACGGGGUCCGGUCCCUGCACUCCCCCCGUCCCCUCUGGCCGCACGCCGCGCGGUUUGUCGCAGUUUGGGAGCUGCAGCGCCCAGUCCGUCUGAUAAAUCCACGUCUGCGUUCACCGUUAUAAAUCCUCUGUCUUGUGGUAGCCUGUGUCGUUCCUCUUGGUGAAGACGCAGUGUGGAUGCCCGUACCGCCACUGCAGACACGAAGAAGAGACACACGGUCCAUCGGAGAGAGGAGCGCAUCCCGCCGUCCUUCGCCGUCGCCAUGUUUGUGUUCAUGUUGCUGAUGAGGUCACCGACAAGCGCGCCUGCGAUUGGCCGCUGGGGAUGAAGAGCAGCACGACGCCCACCAUAAUAAAAACAUGAAAUACAGCUUCCCAAUCUACUGGCAUCACGAAUUAAAAACACUAGGCUAUAUCAUUUAACAAAUUAAA
This is a long non-coding RNA of Gadus chalcogrammus (walleye pollock), 958 nucleotides long. RefSeq lists it as uncharacterized. The record is from RefSeq and is a predicted model, not a curated record. The transcript has 3 exons. Lineage: Eukaryota; Metazoa; Chordata; Actinopteri; Gadiformes; Gadidae.